This 437-nucleotide ribosomal RNA is filed under the name uncultured bacterium. Its description in RNAcentral is "partial 16S ribosomal RNA". It matches the Rfam family "Bacterial small subunit ribosomal RNA", at positions 29 to 507 of the family's 1533-position model. The record is from RNAcentral.
AGCGAACGCUGGCGGCAGGUUUAACACAUGCAAGUCGAGCGGGCAUCCUUGUGGUGUCAGCGGCAGACGGGUGAGUAACGCGUGGGAACGUGCCCUUCGGUUCGGAAUAACUCAGGGAAACUUGAGCUAAUACCGGAUACGUGCGAGAGCAGAAAGGUUUAUCUGCCGAAGGAUCGGCCCGCGUCUGAUUAGCUAGUUGGUGAGGUUACGGCUCACCAAGGCGACGAUCAGUAGCUGGUCUGAGAGGAUGAUCAGCCACACUGGGACUGAGACACGGCCCAGACUCCUACGGGAGGCAGCAGUGGGGAAUAUUGGACAAUGGGGGCAACCCUGAUCCAGCCAUGCCGCGUGAGUGAUGACGGCCUUAGGGUUGUAAAGCUCUUUUCUCCGGGACGAUAAUGACGGUACCGGAGGAAUAAGCCCCGGCUAACUUCGUG